AACAAGGCGUACCUGCGGACCUGCGGAAGGAUCAUUACGAGAGUGUCACCACUCCCAACCCAUUGUUUACCUACCCGUCCACCGUGCUUCGGCAGGCAGCCCUGUGGGACAGAGCCUCGCCCCCUUUCGCGGGGGGUGCCUGCCGCUUGCCAACCAAAACUCUAGCUGUUUUAGUACCAUCUGAGUCUUCCACAAAUGAACAAAACUUUCAACAACGGAUCUCAGAUCGGAAGAGCACAC
This 240-nucleotide unclassified non-coding RNA is filed under the name soil metagenome. Its description in RNAcentral is "partial contains 5.8S ribosomal RNA, internal transcribed spacer 2, and large subunit ribosomal RNA". The record is from RNAcentral.